GCGCCGCCGGGGACGCGCGCUAAUUGGGGGGGGAGGGGGAUAUACGCCGGUCUUAAAGAGACAGGCGCGGCAUGCCACUCCUCCCCACCCUCCGCCGCGGGCCGCCGCUUGCGGGCUCGCGUUACCCGGCCCGUCGUGGGGCUGGCGGGAGGGAGCGGGGGAACUGCCCCUGCGUGGCCCGCCGCGGGGACGGGCGGUGCCCAGGAGCCCCCGCCUCGCCUCGGCGGGCUGCGCGGGGCCGGGAGCGGGACCGGGAGCGGGAGCGGGGCCGCCCUCGGCAGCGGCGGGGUUUGAACUGUUUGCACCAGAAGGGCGCCGGGCCGGGGCCGGGGCCGGGGCCGUUUGGCGCCUCCUGCGCCCCGCGGCCCCCCCGCCGCGGGCAGCCGCGUGGGCAGGCGGAGGGGUGCCGCGGUACGGUCGCCGAACGCGGCGUGAUUCACGACUUCUUUUGUUUUUGGUUUUUUUUUUUUGUUUUGUUUUUCCCCGCUGGCUUUACUUAGGGGACUCGGUCUUUACUCUGGGAAGCGGUUGCCGUCAGAAGAUCUCUAGCUAAGACCUGCAGCUGCUGAGCACCGCGAGGCAGUGACAGGACAUGCCACCCAGGUUUCGUCACUGAUUUUGCCUUGCUUACAUGACUUCCACGGACUGGUCCGGUAAUCAGGAGCUCAGGACUCUGAAGCAGAGUAGCAGUGGUGCUGAUGAAGAUGAUAAUGGUGUCCAAAUGCCACCACUGCUUAGGGCUCAGAGCUGCAGGAGGCACGAGAUGGAAAUUCCUCCUCUUUCUGAAGGAAAGCGAGUGCUAUAGCCACAAGCAUCUGGAGCAGUUUGUGGCAACUGAUUCUGAAUCCUUUGGAAGCAUUUUCUUGCCUAAAAUGGCAAGUGGUCCACUGGGAGGUGGACCAAAAUGUGCCCCCACCUUCUGUUUUUAUACCACCGAAAAUGUCUACACGAUAAGGUAUUGCAAUACUCAGCCUUCAGCCUGCUUGCAUAUUUUGUUUUUCCGCUGGAAUUUUCAUAUUUACCAAGUUCAUAAUCGGUGUUCCAGUGGGAUUUAGGCCUCUAAAUAUUAUUUAAAGAUUUGGAGAUAAAACACCUGCCUAAUUACAAAAACACAGCUUCUUAUGUGUCUAAAUCUUCCAGCACCAAAAAUGCUUUUAAAAGAUUGGUCACGAGCACUCUUCGUGAGGCAGCGCAGCCCUUCCAACUCCUCUGAAAUAGAGGACGUUCACUCUGUGCCAGGAUCAAGUCUUGACAUUCAGAAUUAUGGCUGCCAAAUCUGCAAAUGCUUAAAUGCCUGUCACCCAAGUGCUUGAAAGCUGUGCAAGAACAGAAGAGAACAGCUCACUCUGGAGAGCCGCAAGCAUCUCUGGAAACGUGAUGGGCGAGCUCAGUGGAUUUUACCAUCGAAUCUGCAACCUGGAGAAGGACGAGACCAGUUAUAAAAUAAACGCUAUUUCUGAAGAAAUUGAUUCCUGAGAAUAACAGCAGGAUUCUUUGUUCCUUGUCUCCCAGCAUGAAUUUGGCACGAGGUGCAGAGCUCCAAACAGAAAGGUAUUCAACACCUUAGAAGACAAACGCUUACAGUUUUUUGGUCAAAGCAGUCCCUCUUCUUUUGGAGGGCAAUUUACCAGCAACGUUCAUCGAAGCUUCAGCACUGUUCACUCUCACUUGCCCCAUUAGUCUUCAGUGAAUUUGUGUCUCUAGAAGUAGGGCAGAGUUUGGUUUGGUAAGCUUUAGCGAGAUGUAUAUAUCCAUAUACUUUUGAUGUAACUAAUCACUGUAUUUUUGCACAAGUUUGCAGCAUUCUGGCAAAAUCCAUGAAACCCAGAAGUUUAAGACAAAGUGCACUAUAACUUGCCACUUUUAAAUGAUGUGAAUUAAGAUCAGAAUGUCAAUGUCAUUCUAUUUUCCUAUCUUUUGUCACUUCUGCCACAGUCUUGAUGAGUCUUUAAAUAUAGGCUGUUUUGUAUUUAAA
This is a non-coding RNA of Phalacrocorax carbo (great cormorant), 1975 nucleotides long. The record is from RefSeq and is a predicted model, not a curated record. Lineage: Eukaryota; Metazoa; Chordata; Aves; Suliformes; Phalacrocoracidae.